GAAUUCCUGGUGUAGCGGUGGAAUGCGCAGAUAUCAGGAGGAACACCGAUGGCGAAGGCAGGUCUCUGGGCCAAUACUGACACUGAGGAGCGAAAGCGUGGGGAGCGAACAGGAUUAGAUACCCUGGUAGUCCACGCCGUAAACGGUGGGCGCUAGUUGUGCGAACCUUCCACGGUUUGUGCGACGCAGCUAACGCAUUAAGCGCCCCGCCUGGGGAGUACGAUCGCAAGAUUAAAACUCAAAGGAAUUGACGGGGCCCCGCACAAGCAGCGGAGCAUGCGGCUUAAUUCGACGCAACGCGAAGAACCUUACCAAGGCUUGACAUAUACAGGAAUAUGGCAGAGAUGUCAUAGCCGCAAGGUCUGUAUACAGGUGGUGCAUGGUUGUCGUCAGCUCGUGUCGUGAGAUGUUGGGUUAAGUCCCGCAACGAGCGCAACCCUCGUUCUGUGUUGCCAGCAUUAAGUUGGGGACUCACAGGAGACUGCCGGGGUUAACUCGGAGGAAGGUGGGGAUGACGUCAAAUCAUCAUGCCCCUUAUGUCUUGGGCUGCACGCAUGCUACAAUGGCUGGUACAAACGGCUGCGAUACCGCAAGGUGGAGCGAAUCCGAUAAAGCCA
RNAcentral lists this ribosomal RNA (617 nucleotides) under uncultured bacterium. Its description in RNAcentral is "bacterial SSU rRNA". It matches the Rfam family "Bacterial small subunit ribosomal RNA", at positions 664 to 1284 of the family's 1533-position model. The record is from RNAcentral.